AGUGAACGCUGGCGGUAGGCCUAACACAUGCAAGUCGAACGGCAGCACAGUAAGAGCUUGCUCUUACGGGUGGCGAGUGGCGGACGGGUGAGGAAUACAUCGGAAUCUACUUUUUCGUGGGGGAUAACGUAGGGAAACUUACGCUAAUACCGCAUCCGACCUACGGGUGAAAGCAGGGGAUCUUCGGACCUUGCGCGAUUGAAUGAGCCGAUGUCGGAUUAGCUAGUUGGCGGGGUAAAGGCCCACCAAGGCGACGAUCCGUAGCUGGUCUGAGAGGAUGAUCAGCCACACUGGAACUGAGACACGGUCCAGACUCCUACGGGAGGCAGCAGGGGGGAAUAUUGGACAAUGGGCGCAAGCCUGAUCCAGCCAUACCGCGUGGGUGAAGAAGGCCUUCGGGUUGUAAAGCCCUUUUGUUGGGAAAGAAAAGCAGCAGGUUAAGACCCCGCUGUUCUGACGGUACCCAAAGAAUAAGCACCGGCUAACUUCGUG
RNAcentral lists this ribosomal RNA (492 nucleotides) under uncultured bacterium. RNAcentral's name for it is "partial 16S ribosomal RNA". It matches the Rfam family "Bacterial small subunit ribosomal RNA", at positions 29 to 507 of the family's 1533-position model. The record is from RNAcentral.